Molecule: long non-coding RNA, 489 nt
Filed under: Capsella grandiflora
Lineage: Eukaryota; Viridiplantae; Streptophyta; Magnoliopsida; Brassicales; Brassicaceae
Description: long non-coding RNA (CGRA_LNC000215)
Source: RNAcentral
GCAAAUUCACAAGAAGUUCCUUACGAUGAUGCCAUAUCAAUCCCCAAAACACGUAAUUUUACAUACGACGAAGCUAAUUGCUUAUCAUAAUUCGAACGCAGAGACGAAUACACAACAAGAAGAAAGAGUAGCAGAAGCAGAAAUUAAAAUUUUAUCAAGUUACCAGAAAUUUGAGAGAAUCACGACAUGCUUUAGCCUACGAAGUUCUUCGAAUUAAGAGGAGGAAGAAGAAGAAACGGCUGGUUCAAGAAGGGGAUAUAGAACAAGGCUUAUGAAGAGAGGCUUAGCGGCAUGAGUUGAACAAAAUAAAAUUAAAACCUCUGCAGAAUCGAAACCCUAACCCUAGAUUGAGAGAAGGGGGUUGGAGAGAGAGAGAGAGAGAGGGAGAGGGAGAACGAAGAGAUCCGAAAAAUUCAGAAAAAAAAAUAAAAUAAAAAAGGGAGAAAACCUGAAGACGCGCAAAGGCAGAUUCUUUAGCUUUGAUGCAAA